AUACGGAGGGUGCAAGCGUUAUCCGGAAUUAUUGGGUUUAAAGGGUCCGUAGGCGGCUAGAUAAGUCAGUGGUGAAAUUCUCUCGCUCAACGAGAGACCUGCCAUUGAUACUGUCUUGGCUAGAGUUACAGUGAGGUGAGUGGAAUGUGUGGUGUAGCGGUGAAAUGCAUAGAUAUCACACAGAACACCGAUUGCGAAGGCAGCUCACUAACUGUAUACUGACGCUGAUGGACGAAAGCGUGGGGAGCAAACAGGAUUAGAAACCCCAGUAGUCC
Molecule: ribosomal RNA, 275 nt
Filed under: uncultured bacterium
Lineage: Bacteria
Description: partial 16S ribosomal RNA
Rfam family: Bacterial small subunit ribosomal RNA
Source: RNAcentral